GAUGAACGCUGGCGGCGUGCUUAACACAUGCAAGUCGAGCGAACAGACCCUGCGCUUGCUCCUCUCUCGUUAGCGGAGGACGGGUGAGUAACACGUGUAUAACCUACUUAUAUGACUGGGAACACUACGGGACACCGGCUCAAAUCCCGUAUAAUAUAUUGAUCCGCGGGGUUCAAUGGUGAAUGACGGUGUUGGGGGAACUUCUAGAUGGUUCUGCGCCGCUUUAGCUAGUUGGUAAGGUAACGGCUUACCAAGGCAACGAUGCGUAACCGACCUGAGAGGGUGAUCGGCCACACUGGAACUGAGACACGGUCCAGACUCCUACGGGAGGCAGCAGUAGGGAAUCUUCCGCAAUGGGCGAAAGCCUGACGGAGCAACGCCGCGUGAGUGAUGAAGGUCUUCGGAUCGUAAAACUCUGUUAUUAGGGAAGAACAAAUGUGUAAGUAACUAUGCACGUCUUGACGGUACCUAAUCAGAAAGCCACGGCUAACUACGUG
This 497-nucleotide ribosomal RNA is filed under the name uncultured bacterium. RNAcentral describes it as "partial 16S ribosomal RNA". It matches the Rfam family "Bacterial small subunit ribosomal RNA", at positions 28 to 507 of the family's 1533-position model. The record is from RNAcentral.